Molecule: long non-coding RNA, 6251 nt
Organism: Columba livia (rock pigeon)
Lineage: Eukaryota; Metazoa; Chordata; Aves; Columbiformes; Columbidae
Exons: 2
Source: RefSeq, a predicted model, not a curated record
CAACCCACAAGCACAGCCCUCUUCUCCCACAAACUAUCUUGCCUUGCAGCUCCUCUCUGAAAAGGUUCCAUAUCACUCCCUGAAAUCGCAGGAACAAUGAGAGGAAAGUGAGGAAGACGGUGUGCAGAGGAAGGCAGAGAGGCAUGUUCCAGUACUCAGAUUAUCAUGGCACACGGCAGAUUUGAGAUGCUCCUUCAGGGUGCGGAUACAGCUCCAUUCCUUCCUCCUCUUACACACUGUGCAUCUCCUCACAGUAGGGUGUUGAACUCCAUUCGAACGCAGACAAUGGGAUAGGGAUCCAGCAGCAGUUCAAAGGCAUUUCUAAGCGAAGCGACUGAACAAGCUCAGUGCCGGCGCAGGCAGAGCAGGAUGCGGAGCGCCCCGCUUUCCUCCCCUUCGCUCCCCAGGCUGCACGGGCAGGUGCCACACCACGGGCAGACAGUUCUCCCUUUGUUCCAGUGGCAAGAGGAUCAAGGAGGAAAACAAAAAGGUAAAGACAACACACAGGAUUUGCUGCAGCCAGUCCCCUAUAUCUUGAAACUCUCGCUGAAGCCAGUAAAGACCAAACAUGUUUGUGUGUAAAUCCUACUGGAAGAAACAACAGCAAAGACUGAUCACUACUGAGGUACUUUAAUACUGCACUAAGUACCUGAAAAAAAUUAGAUUACUUUUGAGUUCCUCCAUCCUUCCUCACCCAAAUACUGAUAAAGGAUCUAAAUUACCUUAGCUCUUCUCAAAAAGAUACUGGGACACAAAGCAGAUUUUCUGGGAAUCACUGAUGGAGGAGAGAGGACUUCUCAUUCUCUUUAGCAGCCAGAGAAGGGAUGUGACAAGAUCUAAAGAUGCAUUUAACCCACCCAGUAUCUGUUUGUUAACAGAGGAACAGCUUCCUGUCCGGAAUUUCCCCUUCAACUGAGGUUACAGAGAUCCACUCUGUAGCACAAGGAAGACUACAAUUAAACCCAACUACAAUUAAACCCUAACAAGCCACAUGAACGUAGCCAGAAUUGAUGCAGGGAUGGAGGCUGAGAAAGGAGAUAGACCCUGCAGACUUGUGUAGGUACGAUCUGUUAAACUCACUAAAUGCAUAGAUCUUGAUAAAUUUCUAGCUGGCUUGAAUGUUUAUGUUGUCACUGGUGAAGUCUACCCUGCCCAAAAUUCAAUCCAAGACAGCUAUGUCAUAUUAUCCCCCCCUUUUUUUUUUCUUGGCUUGCCACUGAAAUAGAAACAAGAAUCUUCAGAAGGUCUGGAUGUAGUUGACUUUGGGAUUAAGGAGGAAAAAACAAACAAACAAAAACCAGGAACAGUUUUGGAUUUCCCAAAACAUGCCUGUCUCUUACAUCAGGAGACAAAUGAGCCAUCAUUCACCCUGUUUGGAAUGAAGUGCCUGUCUGAUGGAUGAGAAGAAUUUCUGAGGCCAGAAUAAGCACAUAAGGGAAAACUUUUCUUCCUCUUAAGUGAAACAAAGGGGCUGUGUUAUAGGUACCACUUACACCAUUAAAACUUGUGAUAGAUGACAGCAUACAGAGCAAGCAAACCUUCAUCUGUCCCACCAAGGAUCUGGAAGUGUCAGGACCCCGAGGUCACCAUCAGCUCUUAACCGCACAGACCAGCUCAGUGGGACCUUCACGCACCCCCUCUGCCUCUGGCCCAGCACCCCCCUGAAGUUCGGGCCCAGCCCUUUGCUCUUUGCCUGAACUUUGCUGUGGGUAUACCUGCCUGCAGCCUGCCUCUGGCCUUGGCUCCUGGACUGACUUGGCCUGUCGGUACCUUGUCUCCUGGAAAGACUCCUCAUACAUACACUGUAGGUUGUACUCAGUUCUGUCUUUGGCGCUGUCUUCUGGCUGGACUUUGGACACAUGCUGCAGCCUUCAGCCCUGUGUUUUUGAGCUCCUGGAUGGAGCCACGUCACUCCAUCUUGCCUGUGACUGUCCACAGACCCUGUCACCAGCACCAGGCUCUGCCUGCCAUUCUCAGACCCUGUGGGACGGCGGUCCAUCAGUGCAAGCAGUGCCUGCGCUGGGGUCACCCCUGCCCCCGCCUCGCCUCAGCUCCCAGCCUUGCCGUGCGCUCACAAGAGGCUGGUGCGUAGUGCUUGCAUGAGAAGAUUUAAAAAUCGAUGGAAAUAAUAUUCAUCUCCUGUAACUGAUGCCUGGACAGGUCCUUCCUGGGAAGCCCUCCAAGUUGUCCAUAAUCACAACCUAAGUUGAUUUCCAAGCCUUUAAGCACAGCCUUAGGGCAGAUCUUGGCAGUUUGGUGAGGGCAUUAGCCUAGUAAUAGAUCAACAGCUGUAAUGCCAGAUACAGAAAAUAUAUUCUAAGAGACUAUUAGAAUUUUGUAAUAUGUAAGCACGUGAAUCAUUUUGUGGAAGAAGGUGAAAGGAGGAAAGAAUACGUUUGCAUUUACAGGAGAAAACUUUAUGUGUUACUUCUCCUCUUCCAUGUUAAAGUAGGAAAAAAGCUCUUGAUGUAUUGAAUGUAGCAUUCCCCACCCAUAAGAUUAACCGAUCAUUUAAAACACAUGGAGAGAAGGGUGAAAAGGGCCAAAGUCAAGCCAUUCAAUUGACAAAUAGAUGAUAUAUUCAAAAGAGAGGAACACAAACCUGCCAGAGCACCCUAAGUCGUGUCCUUCUCCUUUGUAAUUAUUUUUUUGUCUCUGCUCAGCUAUGCUCACAUUUCAUAUCUCAGACCUCCAAAGCCCAUGUGGGGAUAAAGUAGCUUGUAUGGAGGAAAGGAUAAUGAGGUCAGUAGGUGUUGCUAUGCAGGUUGCUAGCCUGACAAAGCCCUCAUACUUAGUAGUGCCUACAAUUUGAGACAGUUAUUUCAUUUUUGUAGUAAUCUUUAAUACUCAACAGGCUCAUCUUCAGCAACAGCCAAUCCUUAAAAAUGAUGCAAACCGUAACUGGCAAAAAUCCACCACUAACUUGCCAGUUCUCUUGAACUUCAGUCCAAUAAACUAAUUAAAAUGUUUAAGACCAAAUCCUGUCCAAGCACUAGAAUUCAUUCUCUGUUGCAUAAAUGUGGCAUGAUGUCAUGAAGACACACCAUCUAAGUAAACCAGCACAAUUCUGGAGAUGUUUCAAUGAGACGAUCUCACUGACAUGAUUAGAUCAGUUCCGCAAGUUUCAGAGGAACUGGUUACUGUAACCUGCCCUAGACAGUAAGAUGAAGAACUGGUGAAUGCAAAGAAAUACCCAGUAGACAAGUCCUUAUUAGAAUCAAGUGACAGGAAAAAAACAGACACAGCUAGCAUCCAGAAAAAGAUAAAAUACAAUGGAAGGGAGAAGGAAUUAUUUGUCCCUCUAUUCCUGCUAUGACUGAAUAGAGCUGAGAUAUAUCACAGGAAAAUAAAAGCUUUUAGGGAAACGAAGAUUUCUUGAGAAGUAAGCUGCAGGCAUUUAGUGGCUCACUCUCGCACUUUUUCUGUAAUUUAACUGUGGAAUAUUACUGGGAGAGGCAUCUCAUUGCAGGAAACAUUAAAACAUUAUUAACCAAUAACUAAGUAUUGCUAAGGAUGAACUAAUAAUGGGUUAGCACAAGAAAAGCCCAAAGUUCUCUUUUAAAUUACUAACAAUAACUUAAAGUUUCCAAUAACUCUGCUUUCAUGCACAGUGAAAUGGGUUCUGCAUGGCCUACCUGGCUAUGUAUUCUGCUGCAUGGUCUCCUCUCCAUCUGCUAUCAUUUCUACAUUUUUGCUGUCUUUCUCCAUUUCCUAGCUUUUGUGUCAACAAAAUCAAAGGUGCAAUGACAAUCUACUGUGGCUAUAUCUGAAAUCAAAUAUUCUUCUCCAUUUGCUGUUCUAGUCAUGAUGUCACAUAUACAUUGACAUGAGUAGCAUAUAUAAAGCAUUCCAUUAAUAUUUUUACUCUCUCACUUAUUAUAUUUAUCCAUUUCUCAUGUGAAUAUUACACCAAGUGUCUCUGGAAUUAUGCAACUAUUCAAGCUGGACAGAAUGCCAAUGUGGUCACUGCAUUCAUUCUACUUCAUCACAAACUUUUGUUUAAUUUAUCCAGUUUCUCCUCUUGAGUUUGCAAAAGUAGCCCUGGCUUCUAUUACCACUCUACUCCUCACAACAAUGUAUUGCAAGCAUAAAAGCCUUUAUCAUGUGUUUUGAACUAUUUCUGCUCCUUUUCUAGUCUCUGCAAAUCACACCCGUAAAACUGACAAGAAAAAGUUUACAAUAGAAAAUAUUUGCUAUUUGAAUCACAUUGGAAACACAAGCUACAAAAACAGGGGCACACCAACUGCAUAGGUCCUACACUUCUUCCAACCUCCAAAAUCCUUUUUUAUGACCAAUGCCUGAAGACCUUUAACAAUGUGCUUCCAGAAAUCUCAGGGUUAAGGUUGAGAGAAAGAGAAAGCAAAGAGCUGCACCGUGAGUGGGGCUUGGGAAGGGGCUGCCAAAAGAAAGCGGGCACUGCAUGGAGAUGACCCUGGAAGAAAUCAUUCAUUUGGACAAGAGUAUCAAACUAGUCUAUGGCUUCCCAGGAAAAUUAGGGUUAAAGUCCAGCUUCCGGUUGACAGACAGAGGAAGUUCAGAGCUGCAGCAUGUGCAGGGCUCAAAGAAUCUGAAGUCCUCAUUUAGCAUGUCAACCUUUCCUGACCACCUGAGUGUCUGUGCACCGCAACUCAGCAUUAAGUACUAGCUCCUGCAAUUUCCUUUCUAUAAAACCUGUCUACUUGCACAAGGAAUGCACCGUUCCACCCUCCCUUUUUUGCCCUCUGAUUUUCUGCACAGCUGAAGCCGUAAGUUUGCUCAUACAAAGCAACCUGAGAGAUCUGUACAACUGAGAACACUUUUCAGGCAUGAAAAAGUACUUCAACCAGACUUGUCGAGCACACACCCAAAACCAAAUCAGCUCUGUUAUUUCCAAGCAAAGAAUCUAGGAACCUUUCAACGAGGUAAGACUUGACUACACCAUUCCUCUUCUACUGCACUGACUGGAGGAACUUCCACUCUCAGGAUGGCAUUGGGCUUUUUUCAAGUAUUGCAGCACCUGAAAUCCAUAAAUGUCACAGGAGCCUGAAUCUCUGCAAAUUUUGCAUCAGGCACCUUGACAGGACUGGUGCUUUUUUUGUUAUAUUAGAGUUCAGUAUUCAAACAGAUGUCUUAUAUAAACUCCGCAAGAAUUACUUUCUCUCACUAUUCAUCCAGACAGAACUGACAAAAAAAAGUAGGACUCCUUUCCUUCAGCACAGAAUUUAAACCAACCCAAUAUUUCUAUUUUUAAUUACAUUUAUGAUAUUUCCUGUGAGUGUAAGUCAUGAAUGCAGUUCCAGUAUGCUGGGAGCAAUGUAAAUAUAGUCAUUCCCAAAGGGAUCUUAGAGCUGUUAUGCACAGGUCAGAAAUUCUGUGAAUUGCAAAUCUGAAACUUUAAAAGCUUUUUAGCUUGCAUCAUUCCCAUUCCUUUUCAAAGGCUGAGUUAAUGGAUACUGAACAACAUUGCCUCAAAUUCUGCCCACAAGGCAUGGAAGUAGUAACGCCAUUUGAAUAAAGUAAUAUUUAGCAAUAAGCAAACACUCAGUCCUAUCUCACUCAAGAACUUCAUCGGAAAUUCAUUUCUGAUCCAAAUUAACUCAUCUGCCACUUCAUGCUGGCAACUGUGCAACUGAAGACAAGACACGUGGAACUGUUUCCUCUGCAAAUCACUCUAAGGUGGGAAGGAGGAGUGCAACUUCACAUUGCAGCAUACCAGUCUAGUUGCCUCCUCCUUCUACUUGAUUCCUGGCCUCUUAUUUUGACACGAGGCCACUCAAAAGGACUUCAGUAAGCUCCACUUACCAAAUCUAGAUAUGUCAGCCCACAAAAAUGCAAAAGAUUCUGCACUUACCUCUGAUCACAGCCUGGUGAAGAAAAAAUACUCAUCAGCUGCUUCUCUCAGGAACAAUCUUCUGGUUUAAAAUAAAUAAAAAAGAAACAAGACUUUAAACAGUGCUUCUCUCUCUUCUUUAAUGUUAGUCUCCACCAGUGUUCAUAAACAUUUACUUAGCAGAACACCGUAGCUCUCCAGAACCAAGGUAAUGAUUACAUUACACUAACUAUGGCACGAGGACAGAACGAGGCCAUGACAACAGCCUUGUUGGCACCGACUAGUCAAUGACAUGGGGCUGCACUGCAGCGGGCUCGAUUGUGCAAGAGUGAGAAAGACUGGGGUGAGAUAAGAAAUGACAAGUGCAGGGAUAAAAACAACAACAAAACCCCAACCAAACCAAGAACCUGGAUUUAGAGGUAAACCAUGAAGAAAAAAGAAA